RNAcentral lists this microRNA (22 nucleotides) under Bos taurus (domestic cattle). Its description in RNAcentral is "Bta-Mir-2285-P3_3p (mature (guide))". The record is from RNAcentral. Lineage: Eukaryota; Metazoa; Chordata; Mammalia; Artiodactyla; Bovidae.
AAAACCGGAAUGAACUUUUUGG